Molecule: non-coding RNA, 75 nt
Organism: Podarcis lilfordi (Lilford's wall lizard)
Lineage: Eukaryota; Metazoa; Chordata; Lepidosauria; Squamata; Lacertidae
Source: the annotation of a GenBank genome assembly
ACCUGGAUAGCUCAGUUGGUUAAGAGUGUGGAGCUCAUAACAUCCAGGUUGCAGGUUCGAUCCAAGCUGCAUAUU